UGGGGAAUAUUGCGCAAUGGGGGAAACCCUGACGCAGCAACGCCGCGUGAAGGAAGAAGGUCUUCGGAUUGUAAACUUUUGUCUUUUGGGAAGAUAAUGACGGUACCAAAGGAGGAAGCUCCGGCUAACUACGUGCCAGCAGCCGCGGUAAUACGUAGGGAGCAAGCGUUGUCCGGAAUUACUGGGUGUAAAGGGUGCGUAGGCGGCUAUGUAAGUCAGAUGUGAAAAUUAUGGGCUCAACCCAUAACCUGCAUUUGAAACUGCAUGGCUUGAGUGAUGGAGAGGUAAGCGGAAUUCCUAGUGUAGCGGUGAAAUGCGUAGAUAUUAGGAGGAACACCAGUGGCGAAGGCGGCUUACUGGACAUUUACUGACGCUGAGGCACGAAAGCGUGGGGAGCAAACA
This 402-nucleotide ribosomal RNA is filed under the name uncultured Eubacteriales bacterium. RNAcentral's name for it is "uncultured Clostridiales bacterium partial 16S ribosomal RNA". It matches the Rfam family "Bacterial small subunit ribosomal RNA", at positions 355 to 774 of the family's 1533-position model. The record is from RNAcentral. Lineage: Bacteria; Bacillati; Bacillota; Clostridia; Eubacteriales.